This 563-nucleotide long non-coding RNA is filed under the name Piliocolobus tephrosceles (Ugandan red Colobus). RNAcentral describes it as "lncRNA (ENSPTEG00000006753.1)". The record is from RNAcentral. Lineage: Eukaryota; Metazoa; Chordata; Mammalia; Primates; Cercopithecidae.
UGUGAAAAUGAGGAAAUAUGCAAAACAUAUUGCAGGUGCACAAAUGUCAGUUCCCUUCUGUUAUUGACGAGGAGUUGCCUCCACUUUAAUGAAAAGGAUUUUUAGUGUGACUAGGAUUCAGAAGGUAAGUUUUUCUUUAAUGAAUAGCCUGAUUCUUGAACGAUAAUGACUCAGCCACAAGGGCUUGAGUAAUUGUUUUAUGGCUUAGACUUCCCUUGGCAUGAGGACCCCACCCAGCCCAUAUGAAAAUGAAUACCAUUAAGCAGCCAAAUGUUUCUCCAUUUUAAUUGAAUAUUGUGUGUGGAGACCAAGACUCUCAGUAAGUCCAAGGACUCUUGUAUGUCAUGUCCUUAGCAUGAUGAUCUCCCCACUUCUUUUUACAGUCCAUGAUGGUGGAAGAAGAUGAGACAGGGGAUGUUCCUGUUUGGGGCUCCACUGAAAGCCUCUGGUGCAAUUUCCUCAAAUAAAUGAAGCCUUUGGUCUCGGAUCCAUAGAAGAAGCAAAUUCUGUGUCCUGAUGUUAUCCAAGUCUGUGUGUGGACUCUCUAGAUUCUGCUUCAUUUU